This 338-nucleotide long non-coding RNA is filed under the name Capsicum annuum. RNAcentral describes it as "long non-coding RNA (CANN_LNC005214)". Lineage: Eukaryota; Viridiplantae; Streptophyta; Magnoliopsida; Solanales; Solanaceae. The record is from RNAcentral.
UUUUCUAAUAUGAUUUUUCUUAUAUCUACUACUUUUAUAUCUUUAAGUGCAUACAAAAUAAGUAUUUUAAAUUUAUCUACCAUCACAUCAGAUAAAUAAUUAUUCAUUUUCAUAAAAUUGCUUUUUUCAAAAUAUUCCCUUCAACCAUGUACAUAACAAAAUAUGGUCAUCUUAGAUUACUAUAUACUAGAUUAUUCUUAAAUAAUAGGUUCUUCGGUUACUAUUAACAUGGUAAUUCGGAUAUUUUUUCCCUUAAACAACGUCUCUACUCUGGUUACUCCCCGCCACGGCUUCUUGCCUCAUUGGUUUCACCUUUAGGAUGGCAUAGUUCUUAGGGA